Molecule: ribosomal RNA, 408 nt
Filed under: uncultured bacterium
Lineage: Bacteria
Description: partial 16S ribosomal RNA
Rfam family: Bacterial small subunit ribosomal RNA
Source: RNAcentral
GACGAACGCUGGCGGCGUGCCUAAUACAUGCAAGUCGAGCGAAGCGGCAGAUGGGUGAGAAACGCGUGGGGAACAUGCCCUUAAAUCGGGGAUACUAUUUGGCAACAGAUGCUAAUACCGGAUACUAAAGGAUGGAGCUGCGCGGCAUGAGCUAGAUGUGCAGGUAACGGCUUAACAAGGCGAUGAUGCAUAGACGAGUUGAGAGACGGAUCGGCCACAUUGGGACUGAGACACGGCCCAAACUCCUACGGGAGGCAGCAGUAGGGAAUCUUCCACAAUGGACGAAAGUCUGAUGGAGCAACGCCGCGUGAGUGAAGAAGGUUUUCGGAUCGUAAAGCUCUGUUGUUGGUGAAGCGGUAAUCAACCAGAAAGUCACGGCUAACUACGUGCCAGCAGCCGCGGUAAUAC